CUACGGGAGGCAGCAGUGGGGAAUAUUGCACAAUGGAGGAAACUCUGAUGCAGCAACGCCGCGUGGAGGAUGACACUUUUCGGAGCGUAAACUCCUUUUAUAUAGGAAGAAGAUGACGGUACUAUAUGAAUAAGCGCCGGCUAACUCCGUGCCAGCAGCCGCGGUAAUACGGAGGGCGCAAGCGUUACUCGGAAUCACUGGGCGUAAAGAGCGUGUAGGCGGAUUAAAAAGUCAGAAGUGAAAUCCUAUAGCUUAACUAUAGAACUGCUUCUGAAACUCUUAAUCUAGAAUAUGUGAGAGGUAGAUGGAAUUUCUGUUGUAGGGGUAAAAUCCGUAGAGAUCAGAAGGAAUACCGACUUCGCAUGCGCACCACUAGAUGUGUAUUGACGCUGGCCCGCGAAAGGCUGGAGAGCAUAGAGGAUUAGAUACCCUAGUAGUC
This 439-nucleotide ribosomal RNA is filed under the name uncultured bacterium. RNAcentral describes it as "partial 16S ribosomal RNA". It matches the Rfam family "Bacterial small subunit ribosomal RNA", at positions 339 to 795 of the family's 1533-position model. The record is from RNAcentral.